AUUCCCCCUCCCCCACCCUCCCAAACCAAUACAGGAUGACAAUGAAAUCAUCGCCCAAAUAAGACUGCUGGAAAAAAUUUUCCCCAAUUCUUUUCUCUAAGCUGCCGCUACUUCACAUUUACCUUCACUGCCUCCCUGAACCUAAUUCAUUCCUACAUAUUCAUUGCUUCUGUCUUCCAGAUUACUCUCACCCAUAGCAAAUCUCCAUCUCUUUCUCUAUUGGUUGGAUUCUUUUGCUCUCAAAAUUUCCUUUAUCGUUUGGGAGUAGUUAUCAAAACCCUCUUCCCCAACGGCUAUAUUAUCGUCUAUGCACAAAUGUUUCAGUAGUUAUCAAAACUCCCUUCCUCAAAGUUGCGGAAUCAAGUAGUUGCUAAUGUGGAGGCUAGGAUAGCUGCCUGGACGUUCCUUCUUGAAGAGAACGAGGAAUCUAUUCAGAUAUUGCAUUACGAACAUGGCCAAAAGUACGAGCCACAUUUUAUUAUUUUCAUGACAAAGUCAAUCAAGAGCUAGGCGGUCAUUGGGUGGCUACUGUUCUUAUGUAUUUAUCUGAUGUUGAGAAGGGUGGGGAAACAAUUUUUCCUAAUUCAGAGGUAAUCAGUAAUUGCAUGAUUCAUUUUUUCUGUUCUACUGGCGAUUAUGAUGCAACUUUUUUUCCCUUGUUAACGGGAAACCUACAGGCAAAAAAACUCAACUAAGGGUGAUGACUGGUCUGAUUGUGCUAAAAAGGAUAUGCAGUCUGAACUUCAGAAUCGUCAAAGUUCUAGAAAAACAGCAAAUGAUGCAUUUAAGGUUGUAUUUGGAAAUGAGCAGCCUGGUCAGGUUAGAUGCUAUGGUAGAUCGGUGACGACAAGAUCUCCAAAAAAAGAUGAAAAAAUCACAAAACUUAAACAACAGCAUGCCAACAAAAUAACUUCUCUGAAGGAAGAAAUGAUGAGAGAAGAAAUGCGAUAUUUUUUUAGUCAAUUGGUGAAAAACAACCCUGCACUAGAUUUUCAUGAUAUACAAGGGUGUGUUGGAUCUAAUAUUCCUUCACUGGUUGAUGCAAGUAGUGCAUGAGCUAUGAGAGGCCAUAAUCUUCCACAUUCUUCUUGCUCAACUCAUGCCCCGAGUCUUGAAAAGGAAAAUAUCGGUGAUGCAAUUGGAACUAGUGGCCACAAAUCAAUUUGAUUCAUUAAAGUGAAUGGUGAAGACCUUUUGAACAAUUGUGAUGUUUAUUUUUUUAUAUUGAUACUAUAAAUAUGAAUACAUUUGGUUUUGUUGAGGUUUUUGCUAGUGAACUUGUUGAACCAACAGUGCUUUGUUACUAUAGAUAGUACACAAAGUAUGUUUCUUUGUUGAAGUUUAUUUCAAGUAUA
Non-coding RNA from Nicotiana tabacum (common tobacco), 1355 nucleotides. Lineage: Eukaryota; Viridiplantae; Streptophyta; Magnoliopsida; Solanales; Solanaceae. The record is from RefSeq and is a predicted model, not a curated record.